This 1381-nucleotide ribosomal RNA is filed under the name metagenome. RNAcentral describes it as "bacterial SSU rRNA". It matches the Rfam family "Bacterial small subunit ribosomal RNA". The record is from RNAcentral.
AGAGUUUGAUUCUGGCUCAGAACGAACGCUGGCGGCGUGGAUAAGACAUGCAAGUCGAACGGGACAUUAUUAAUAGCAAUAUUGAUGAUGUUCAGUGGCGUAAGGGUGCGUAACACGUGAAUCAUCUGCCGAGAAGUGGGGCAUAGCUCGCCGAAAGGCGAAUUAAUACCGCAUAUUGUAGCAAUACCAAAGCCGGGGCAACCUGGCGCUUCUUGAUGAGUUCGCGGCCUAUCAGCUAGUUGGCGGGGUAACGGCCCACCAAGGCUAUGACGGGUAGCUGGUCUGAGAGGACGACCAGCCACACUGGAACUGAGACACGGUCCAGACACCUACGGGUGGCAGCAGUCGAGAAUUUUUCUCAAUGGGGGAAACCCUGAAGGAGCGACGCCGCGUGGAGGAUGAAGGUCUUCGGAUUGUAAACUCCUGUCAUUAGUGAACAAAGUUCGCGCUUUACUGGUUGCGAAUUUGCUAGUAACUGAAGAGGAAGAGGCGGCAAACUCUGUGCCAGCAGCCGCGGUAAUACAGAGGCCUCAAGCGUUGUUCGGAUUUAUUGGGCGUAAAGGGUGCGUAGGCGGUACCGAAAGUUAGGUGUGAAAGUUCGAGGCUCAACCUCGAAAUUGCACCUAAUACUCCGGUGCUUGAGUCUCAUAGAGGAAUCUGGAAUUCACGGUGUAGCAGUGAAAUGCGUAGAUAUCGUGAAGAAGGCCUGUGGCGAAAGCAAGAUUCUGGGUGACGACUGACGCUGAGGCACGAAAGCCAGGGGAGCAAACGGGAUUAGAUACCCCGGUAGUCCUGGCAGUAAACGGUGCUCGUUUGGUGUGGGCAGCUCGACACUGUCCGCGCCGAAGCUAACGCAUUAAACGAGCCGCCUGGGUAGUACGAUCGCAAGAUUAAAACUCAAAGAAAUUGACGGGGGCCCGCACAAGCGGUGGAGUAUGUGGCUUAAUUCGAUACUACGCGAAGAACCUUACCUAGGCUUGCCAUGCAACUGAAUACAUUGUUACCUGACCUAGUCAGGCUCUCUAUCAAAACUGCCUCGCAAAACGGGGAGGAAGUCGGGGAUGACGUCAAGUCAGCAUGGCCCUUACGCCUAGGGCUGCACACGUACUACAAUGCUCAGUACAAUUUGAGCCGGUCCUGCAAAGGCUCGGAAAUCAUUAAAACUGAACUCAGUUCGGAUUGCGGGCUGCAACUCGCCCGCAUGAAGCUGGAAUCGCUAGUAAUGCCGUAUCAGCUACGACGGCGUGAAUACGUUCCCGGGCCUUGUACACACCGCCCGUCACAUCAUGGAAAUCGGUAGCUCCCGAAGCGUGGAUAUGAUUCUUCACCUCCGCGUUAAGGAACUGCCGGUAACUGGGAUGAAGUCGGAACAAGGUAGCCG